RNAcentral lists this ribosomal RNA (376 nucleotides) under uncultured bacterium. RNAcentral's name for it is "bacterial SSU rRNA". It matches the Rfam family "Bacterial small subunit ribosomal RNA", at positions 524 to 898 of the family's 1533-position model. The record is from RNAcentral.
GACGGAGGGUGCAAGCGUUGUUCGGAUUGACUGGGCGUAAAGGGCGUGUAGGCGGUUGGUCAAGUCUGGUGUGAAAGCCCGGGGCUUAACCCCGGAAGUGCAUUGGAAACUAGCCAGCUAGAGCGCGAGAGAGGAGGGUGGAAUUCCUGGUGUAGCGGUGAAAUGCGUAGAUAUCAGGAGGAACACCGGCGGCGAAGGCGGCCCUCUGGCUCGUUGCUGACGCUGAAACGCGAAAGCGUGGGGAGCAAACAGGAUUAGAUACCCUGGUAGUCCACGCUGUAAACGAUGGGUACUAGGUGUUCGGGGUAUUGACCCCCUGAGUGCCGCCGCUAACGCAUUAAGUACCCCGCCUGGGGACUACGGCCGCAAGGUUAAA